GCUUCUCGUGCGAUGUUUCGCAGUAUAUCCCUGUGAGUUUGCUACUUUUCAAUGGUCAAAUCACAGGAGUAUACUGUGAGAUGUUGCCGGUUACUUAGGC
RNAcentral lists this non-coding RNA (100 nucleotides) under Anopheles gambiae (African malaria mosquito). Its description in RNAcentral is "microRNA aga-mir-308 precursor". Its record names the gene aga-mir-308. The stretch from base 17 to 80 matches the Rfam family "mir-308 microRNA precursor family". The record is from miRBase by way of RNAcentral. RNAcentral also lists the same sequence under 1 other name. Lineage: Eukaryota; Metazoa; Arthropoda; Insecta; Diptera; Culicidae.